AGCAACUGAGGAGAAGUUAGAAAGGGCACACGGUGGAUGCCUUGGCGCCGUGGAGCCGAUGAAGGACGGGGCGAACACCGAUAUGCCCCGGGGAGCCGUAAGCAGGCUUUGAUCCGGGGAUUUCCGAAUGGGGCAACCCACCGGCGGCGAACCGCCGGUACUCCUGCCUGAAUCCAUAGGGCAGUGAGAGGCAGACCGGGGGAACUGAAACAUCUUAGUACCCCGAGGAAGAGAAAGAAACCUCGAUUCCCCGAGUAGCGGCGAGCGAAACGGGAGAAGCCCAAACCGAAGGGAAUUCCCUUCGGGGUUGUGGGGCGUCCUGUAUGGAGUCAGAAAAGCGAAGCGUAGGCGAAGUGGCUCCGAACGGCCCGCCAGAGACGGUAACAGCCCGGUAGCCGAAACGCUUUGCUCUCCGGGACGGACCCCGAGUACCACGGGACACGUGAAACCCCGUGGGAAUCCGGGAGGACCACCUCCCAAGGCUAAAUACUCCCUGGCGACCGAUAGUGAACCAGUACCGUGAGGGAAAGGUGAAAAGCACCCCGGGAGGGGAGUGAAAGAGAACCUGAAACCGUGUGCUUACAAGCAGUCGGAGCCCUCUUGAAGGGUGACGGCGUGCCUUUUGUAGAAUGAACCGGCGAGUGACGACGGCCUGCAAGGUUAAGGCGAGAAGCCGGAGCCGCAGCGAAAGCGAGUCUGAACAGGGCGUUUAGAGUAGGUCGUCGUCGACCCGAAACCGGGUGAUCUACCCAUGUCCAGGGUGAAGUUGAGGUAACACUCAAUGGAGGCCCGAACCCACCGAUGUUGAAAAAUCGGGGGAUGAGGUGUGGGUAGGGGUGAAAUGCCAAUCGAACCCGGAGAUAGCUGGUUCUCCCCGAAAUAGCUUUAGGGCUAGCCUCGGAACCGGAGUCGCGGAGGUAGAGCACUGAUUGGGCUAGGGGCCUGUCAAGGGUUACCGAACUCAGUCAAACUCCGAAUGCCGCAGACUCAUCAUCCGGGAGUCAGACUGCGGGUGCUAAGAUUCGUAGUCGAAAGGGAAACAGCCCGGACCACCAGCUAAGGUCCCCAAGUGCGUGUUAAGUGGGAAAGGAUGUGGAGUUGCUCAGACAACCAGGAUGUUGGCUUAGAAGCAGCCAUCAUUUAAAGAGUGCGUAAUAGCUCACUGGUCCAGGGACUCUGCGCCGAAAAUGUAACGGGGCUAAACACGCCACCGAAGCUGUGGACGCUGGAGGUUGGAAGUAAGAAGUUGGAGGUAAGAAGGGAUGAUUCGGAGCUUUCGUGAUUUCCGUGUGUAUCAGGCAUCUUAUAGUCUGGCACUCGAAGUACACAAAGCCACCCGAACCUUUCCGGACUUUGAGAAGUAUGAACUGGGAGCUCAAUUAAGGCGAGCUGCGGUUUCUAUACCGGCUAAUAUAGCUGAAGGGUAUGGGAAACGAAGGUCAACUGACCUCGGUUAUGUUGAUCAAGCUUUGUAUCAACGAUGGGAGCAGUCAUACAGUAAACUGGGCAGGCAACUUCACAGCCUGCUGGAUAAAUGGAAGUCCAACAUCUGACCUCUUACUUCUGACCUCCAGUGUGGUAGGGGAGCGUCCCCAGUGCAUCGAAGUCGUGUCGUGAGGCACGGUGGAGUGCUGGGGAGUGAGAAUGCCGGUGUGAGUAACGAAAAGAGGGGGUGAGAAUCCCCUCCGCCGAAAGCCUAAGGUUUCCUGAGGAAGGUUCGUCCGCUCAGGGUAAGUCGGGACCUAAGCCGAGGCUGAAAAGCGUAGGCGAUGGACAACAGGUGGAAAUUCCUGUACCACCUUCCGCCGUUUGAGUGACGGGGGGACGCAGGAGGGUAGGAGAUCGCGCUGUUGGAUAUGCGCGUCCAAGCGGUGAGGCUGAAGGGAGAGGCAAAUCCAUCCCUUCAAGGCUGGGCCGUGAUGGCGAGGGAAAUGACAGUACCGAAGUCUUUGAUCUCACACUGCCAAGAAAAGCCUCUAGCGAGGCGGAAGGUGCCCGUACCGCAAACCGACACAGGUAGGCGAGGAGAGAAUCCUCAGGCGCGCGGGAAAACUCUCGUUAAGGAACUCGGCAAAAUGACCCCGUAACUUCGGGAGAAGGGGUGCCCCGGCAGGGUGGUCUUCGGACUGCUCGAGGGGGCCGCAGUGAAUAGGCCCAAGCGACUGUUUAGCAAAAACACAGGUCUCUGCGAAGCCGCAAGGCGAAGUAUAGGGGCUGACGCCUGCCCGGUGCUGGAAGGUUAAGGGGAAGGGUUAGCACUCCCACCCCAAAAAGCACUACUUUUUGGGGGACCCUGGGGAGCGAAGCUCUGAACCGAAGCCCCAGUAAACGGCGGCCGUAACUAUAACGGUCCUAAGGUAGCGAAAUUCCUUGUCGGGUAAGUUCCGACCCGCACGAAAGGCGUAACGACUUGGGCGCUGUCUCAACGAGAGACCCGGUGAAAUCGUAGUACCCGUGAAGAUGCGGGUUACCUGUGACAGGACGGAAAGACCCCGUGAAGCUUUACUGUAGCCUGAUAUUGGAUCUUGGUACGGUUUGUACAGGAUAGGUGGGAGCCGUGGAGUCCGGGCCGCCAGGUUCGGAGGAGGCACUGGUGGGAUACCACCCUGAUCGUGCCGGGGUUCUAACCGAGCACCGUGAUCCGGUGUCGGGACCGUGUCAGGUGGGCAGUUUGACUGGGGCGGUCGCCUCCUAAAGCGUAACGGAGGCGCCCCCAAGGUUCCCUCAGCGCGGUUGGAAAUCGCGCGGUAGAGUGCAAAGGCAGAAGGGAGCUUGACUGCGAGACCUACAAGUCGAGCAGGGACGAAAGUCGGGCUUAGUGAUCCGGUGGUUCCGAGUGGAAGGGCCAUCGCUCAACGGAUAAAAGCUACUCCGGGGAUAACAGGCUGAUCUCCCCCAAGAGUCCACAUCGACGGGGAGGUUUGGCACCUCGAUGUCGGCUCGUCGCAUCCUGGGGCUGUAGUCGGUCCCAAGGGUUGGGCUGUUCGCCCAUUAAAGCGGUACGCGAGCUGGGUUCAGAACGUCGUGAGACAGUUCGGUCCCUAUCCGUCACAGGCGCAGGAAAUUUGAGAGGAGCCGUCCUUAGUACGAGAGGACCGGGAUGGACGCACCGCUGGUGUACCAGUUGUGUCGCCAGAUGCAUCGCUGGGUAGCCAAGUGCGGAAGGGAUAAGCGCUGAAAGCAUCUAAGCGCGAAGCCCCCCUCAAGAUGAGAUUUCCCAUCCUUUAUGGAGUAAGACCCCUCGAAGAUGACGAGGUAGAUCGGUCCGGGGUGUACGCGUGGCAACACGUUCAGCUGACGGAUACGAAUCGGUCGAGGACUUCUCCUGAAUUG
RNAcentral lists this ribosomal RNA (3333 nucleotides) under Kroppenstedtia eburnea. RNAcentral's name for it is "23S ribosomal RNA". It matches the Rfam family "Bacterial large subunit ribosomal RNA". The record is from RNAcentral. Lineage: Bacteria; Bacillati; Bacillota; Bacilli; Caryophanales; Thermoactinomycetaceae.